This 435-nucleotide ribosomal RNA is filed under the name uncultured bacterium. Its description in RNAcentral is "partial 16S ribosomal RNA". It matches the Rfam family "Bacterial small subunit ribosomal RNA", at positions 28 to 507 of the family's 1533-position model. The record is from RNAcentral.
GAUGAACGCUGGCGGUAUGCUUAACACAUGCAAGUCGAACGGACUCUUCGGAGUUAGUGGCGGACGGGUGAGUAACGCGUGAGAAUCUGGCUUUGGGUUCGGGACAACCACUGGAAACGGUGGCUAAUACCGGAUGUGCCGAGAGGUAAAAGAGAAAUUGCCUGAAGAUGAGCUCGCGUCUGAUUAGCUAGUUGGUGAGGUAAAGGCUCACCAAGGCAGCGAUCAGUAGCUGGUCUGAGAUGAUGACCAGCCACACUGGGACUGAGACACGGCCCAGACUCCUACGGGAGGCAGCAGUGGGGAAUUUUCCGCAAUGGGCGAAAGCCUGACGGAGCAAUACCGCGUGAGGGAAGAAGGCUCUUGGGUUGUAAACCUCUUUUCUUAGGGAAGAACAAAAUGACGGUACCUAAGGAAUCAGCAUCGGCUAACUCCGUG